Molecule: non-coding RNA, 275 nt
Organism: Biomphalaria pfeifferi
Lineage: Eukaryota; Metazoa; Mollusca; Gastropoda; Planorbidae
Source: the annotation of a GenBank genome assembly
GCUUACAAUGACCAAUCAACAGAGCUGUUAAGAGCAGUGAUGGCCUGGAAUGCAGCAUAAAGAUCUCCAACCAGUUGUAGCUUUGGUUACAUCAAGCAGCAUAGGUUUAGCUACUUUAAUAAAAAAACAUUGAGCCUAGUCUCAAAGAUUGUAAACAAAAUAUACCAACAUAAUACAUUUUACUUAAAAAUUCAUAUGAAGAUAUUUUCGCUUACAACUGUGUUUCUCUAUCUAUACAUAUAUGUAUAUACACACACACACAUAUAUAUAUAUAC